GGGGCUGACAGGUUUCGACAUCAGUAUCUGUGGGCGAGCGUGCGACCCGAGUUGCUCAGACUCGCUAAACGGGGCAAAAAACAGAAUUGCCAACGAGCAGUUCGCUCUCGCCGCCUGAUCUUUAGGUGAGCGAAGAGACAUCGUGACCAGAAAUGGCGCACGGGGCCGAUCCACCGCAGCCCGGCAACAGAAGCGGGGGAUGACGGCGAGAAAGACCGCUGACUGUAGGAAAGUCUGCUGACACUCGGCAAAGACCGAGCGGGGUCCGCCGCUUGCGACGGUCAGCCGACCCGCCGGUCGCGCUGCGUUAGCGAGUGAGUCGGGAAUGGUCGUAGCACGGACGUUCACUGCCUGAUGGACGGGGGUUCGAUUCCCCCCAGCUCCACGA
RNAcentral lists this transfer-messenger RNA (388 nucleotides) under Actinomycetota bacterium. It matches the Rfam family "transfer-messenger RNA". Rfam says of the family: Bacterial tmRNA, also known as 10Sa RNA or SsrA, is named for its dual tRNA and mRNA-like properties. Its role is to liberate the mRNA from a stalled ribosome. To accomplish this part of the tmRNA is used as a reading frame that ends in a translation stop signal. Lineage: Bacteria; Bacillati; Actinomycetota. The record is from RNAcentral.